GCCGUUGUGGCGGAACAGGCAGACGCAAGGGACUUAAAAUCCCUCGAAGGAUAACUUCGUAUCGGUUCGAGUCCGAUCAACGGCACCA
This 88-nucleotide transfer RNA is filed under the name Clostridiales bacterium. RNAcentral describes it as "tRNA-Leu". It matches the Rfam family "tRNA". Rfam says of the family: Transfer RNA (tRNA) molecules are approximately 80 nucleotides in length. Their secondary structure includes four short double-helical elements and three loops (D, anti-codon, and T loops). Further hydrogen bonds mediate the characteristic L-shaped molecular structure. tRNAs have two regions of fundamental functional importance: the anti-codon, which is responsible for specific mRNA codon recognition, and the 3' end, to which the tRNAs corresponding amino acid is attached (by aminoacyl-tRNA synthetases). tRNAs cope with the degeneracy of the genetic code in two manners: having more than one tRNA (with a specific anti-codon) for a particular amino acid; and 'wobble' base-pairing, i.e. permitting non-standard base-pairing at the 3rd anti-codon position. Lineage: Bacteria; Bacillati; Bacillota; Clostridia; Eubacteriales. The record is from RNAcentral. RNAcentral also lists the same sequence under 1 other name.